This 1571-nucleotide ribosomal RNA is filed under the name uncultured archaeon. RNAcentral describes it as "partial 16S ribosomal RNA". The stretch from base 1 to 1290 matches the Rfam family "Archaeal small subunit ribosomal RNA". The record is from RNAcentral.
AGGUCACUGCUAUCGGGGUUCGAUUAAGCCAUGCGAGUCGAGAGGGUUCGGCCCUCGGCGUACUGCUCAGUAACACGUGGAUAACCUGCCCUAGGGAAGGGGAUAACCCCGGGAAACUGGGGAUAAUACCCUAUAGAUUACAGAUGCUGGAAUGCCCUGUAAUCCAAAGUUCCGACGCCCUAGGAUGGAUCUGCGGCCGAUUAGGUUGUUGUUGGGGUAAUGGCCCAACAAGCCCGUAAUCGGUACGGGUUGUGGGAGCAAGAGCCCGGAGUUGGAUUCUGAGACACGAAUCCAGGCCCUACGGGGCGCAGCAGGCGCGAAAACUUUACAAUGCGGGCAACCGUGAUAAGGGAACCUCGAGUGCCUGUAAAUGCAGGCUGUUCAGGUGCCUAAAACACACCUGAAGAAAGGGCCGGGCAAGACCGGUGCCAGCCGCCGCGGUAAUACCGGCGGCUCGAGUGGUGGCCGCUUUUAUUGGGCUUAAAGCGUUCGUAGCUGGGUUGUUAAGUCUCUUGGGAAAUCUGGCGGCUUAACCGUCAGGCGUCUAAGGGAUACUGGCAAUCUUGGAACCGGGAGAGGUGAGGGGUACUUCGGGGGUAGGAGUGAAAUCCUGUAAUCCUCGAGGGACCACCUGUGGCGAAGGCGCCUCACCAGAACGGCUUCGACAGUGAGGGACGAAAGCUGGGGGAGCAAACCGGAUUAGAUACCCGGGUAGUCCCAGCCGUAAACUAUGCGCGUUAGGUGUAUCGGUGACCACGAGUUACCGAGGUGCCGAAGGGAAACCGUGAAACGUGCCGCCUGGGAAGUACGGUCGCAAGGCUGAAACUUAAAGGAAUUGGCGGGGGAGCACCACAACAGGUGGAGCCUGCGGUUUAAUUGGACUCAACGCCGGGAAGCUCACCGGAUAAGACAGCAGAAUGAUUGCCGGGCUGAAGACUCUGCAUGACUAGCUGAGAGGAGGUGCAUGGCCGUCGUCAGUUCGUACUGUGAAAUUUCCCUAACCGCCCCCCUCGUGGUGGUGUCCCACCUCGGACGCCAAAUUAANCCUGAGUUGCGGCCCUUCGAGUGGCCUAUUCUUGUCGUCUUACUAACGGCCCGACUUCUGAGACGUACUGAUCCGACUCUCCUCCACGUACCCGGCAGCAGUCAAGCAUGACACNUUCGUAGGACAAUUCCAGUCCGUUGCUCGUUCUGGGUGCGGUUGUCAACGGUCGUACCAGAGGCCCUGACUACCCCUGUGACAACCCUGGCGGAGACGAUUUCUCCUCCUUCCUUACCCGUUGCCAUCCAGUCGUACGGGGCUUAAUAGGCCCGAUGUGCGCCCGAUGUUACCCGUCCUGUUACCCGUAGCUGUGGCUUUCCACUUCCGUUAGAGGAUUUGGACAGGAAUCAAGCCUAACACCCGACGUUGAGCGGGUGUACUUCGACCUUAGACAUCAUUAGCGCAAAGUUUUAUUGCGCCACUUAAACAGGGACGAGGAACGUGUGUGGCGGGCAGUUUGGUGGGCUCACCCCAAACCUACUCCAACGCCAACAACGGCGUCAGCUUAGAUCCAAGGCGUUCCCCCCAA